Molecule: long non-coding RNA, 1360 nt
Organism: Mercenaria mercenaria
Lineage: Eukaryota; Metazoa; Mollusca; Bivalvia; Venerida; Veneridae
Exons: 2
Source: RefSeq, a predicted model, not a curated record
UUUUAGCUCACCUGAGCACGAAGUGCUCAAAGGUGAGCUUUAGUGAUCACCCUGUGUCCGGCGUCCGUCGUCCGUCCGUCCGUCCGUCGUCAACAAUUUGACUGUUAACACUCUAGAGGUCACAUUUUUGACCCAAUCUUAAUGAAACUUGGUCAGAAUGUUACCCUCAAUAAAAUCUUGGACGAGUUCGAUAUUGGGUCAUCUGGGGUCAAAAACUAGGUCAUCAGGUCAAAUCAAAGGAAAAGCUUGUUAACACUCUAGAGGUCACAUUUUUGGCCCAAUCUUAAUGAAACUUGGUCAGAAUGUUACCCUCAAUAAAAUCUUGGACGAGUUCGAUAUUAAGUCAUCUGGGGUCAAAAACUAGGUCAUCAGGUCAAAUCAAAGGAAAAGCUUGUUAACACUCUAGAGGUCACAAUUUUGGCCCAAUCUUAAUGAAACUUGGUCAGGAUGUUACCCUCAAUAAAAUCUUGGACGAGUUUGAUAUUGGGUCAUCUGGGGUCAAAAACUAGGUCACCAGGUCAAAUCAAAGAAAAAGCUUGUUAACACUCUAGAGGUCACAUUUUUGGCCCAAUCUUAAUGAAACUUGGUCAGAAUGUUACCCUUAAUAAAAUCUUGGACGAGUUCGAUAUUUGGUUAUCUGGGAUCAUAAACUAGGUCACCAGGUCAAAUCAAAGGAAAAGCUUGUUAACACUGUUGAAGCCGCAUUUAUGACUGUAUCUUCAUGAAACUUGGUCAGAUUGUUAAUAUUGAUGAUCUUAAGGUCCAGUUUGAAUCUGGGUCAUGUAGGAUAAAAAAACUAGGUCACCAAGCCAAAUCAAAUGAAAAGCUAGUUUACACUAGAGGCCACAUUUAUGACCAUACCUUAAUGAAACUUGGUCAAAUCUUGAUGAUCUAUAGCUCAAGUUCAAAUCUGGGUUAGGUGGGGUCAAAAACUAGGUCACUAGGUCAUAUCAAAGGAAAAGCUUGUUAACACUCUAGAGGCCACAUUUAUGACUAUAUCUUCAUGAAACUUAGUCAGAAUGUUAAACUUGAUGAUCUUUAGGGCAAUUUUGAAUCUGGGUCAUGUCGGGUCAAAAACUAGGUCACGGGGGUCAAAUAAAAGGAAUAGUUAGUUAACACUUUAGAGGCCACAUUUAUGACCAUAUCUUAAUGAAACUUGGUCAGAAUGUUAAUCUUGAUGAUCUAUAGGUCAAGUUUAAAUCUGGGUCAGGUGUGUUAAAAAACUAGGUCACUAGGUCAAAUCAAAGGAAAAGCUUGUUAAGACUCUAGAGGCCAGAUUUAUGACUGUAUCUUCAUGAAACUUAAUCAGAAUGUUAAUCUUGAUGAUCUUUAGGUCAAGUUCGAAUCUGGGUCAUGUGGG